RNAcentral lists this unclassified non-coding RNA (3486 nucleotides) under Hevea brasiliensis (rubber tree). Lineage: Eukaryota; Viridiplantae; Streptophyta; Magnoliopsida; Malpighiales; Euphorbiaceae. The record is from RNAcentral.
UGGGGAGAAAAUAACAAUUUAAAUUUAUCCAAACUAUGGCAAGUAAAUUUCCAGGCCAGAUUCAACUUCCCUCAAAAAUUCAAACAAAACACACAAAGCAAUUCGUCAUUAUUCAACUGCAAUCCAACAGAUUGAACCUAAAAAUUAUGGAGAAAAAACUCUCUACUUUAUGGUAGAAAUUUACUUCUCAAGUGGUACUUGACCUGUUAUCAAAAUAUCUCAAGCAGUAGCUACAUGGCUGAUAGUGAUACAGAACUGCAUUUCUACAGUGAGAACAGUGCAAUUGCUCUGCAUCUACUGUCAGCUGUUGCAUAUAAUCCCUUCUGGCAGUUCUGUCCAAAGUAACUACAAGUCAUUUCUUCUUACAAGAGCUCAUUUGUCCAGAGAGUACCAUAAUUAGCUUCAAGAUCUCCACCACCGUCUAAAUGCUUUUAUGCACUUCUAAAGAAACACUUUGCCAGCGCCUUUUCUUGGACAUAAUCUUACAAGAUGGAGGCAAUGAAACCUGGCGAACAGCCUUUCCAAGUUCAUUUAAUUGUAGAAUCUCUCGAAGCUGGCUCAUGAUAUUCUCCAAAAGUUGCAACUGAAUAUUUUCUUUUCCCAUGUGCUCCAUAGAUACAUUGAGCUUCCCUCUACCCUCUUGUACAACCCUUAGCCUUUCCCAUAGCCUUCCAACUUCAUUGUCAAUUCUCAACCUCUCAUAAUCAACUGCAGACAUGGAAUUUCUCUUAAAAACAGAAACCAAGGUUUUUUUUUGCGAGCAACCCACACGUGGCAUUCCACUAGUUAUGUCUGAGUAGCUUCUGCUGAUGCCCUGCUUAGUUUGUGAACUGGUAAUUGCUCGACUAUCACAUGAUUUUGGGAUGUCUAAGUUGGCAUUUACUAACAGUUUUUCAAUUCCAAUUCCUCUGAAUUCACCAGGCAUAUUAAAUUUAUCACCAAUCAUAUAAACAUCAUGAACAUGAGCAUCCAUGUUUACCAUUGCAUUGCAUGAAUCUUGGUCGUGCUUCUCUGAAUCAUCAGAAUUAUACGGAAAACUAUUCUCAGUUUCAUUGCAAGUCUGAAUUGCCUUUGAUGCCAAUCCUUCACUCGUAAUAAUGACAUCACUUUGUUUCUGUACUUCCCCAAGAGGGGCAACAGUUUUCUCAUGCAAAUUAUAUCCUUCUGCAGUUGAUAAGUCAAAUUGUAAUUGGAUAUCUCUUUCCUGAGGAAAUACUUCAUCCAACUUUGGGAUUGGUAACUCUUUCCCAAAGACUAGAGUAUGAUCCACAUUUUCCUUCUCACAAAUGGAUUCACCAAUUCUCUGCAGCAUCUGCAACGGAUCCUCACCUGAAUAUUGCAACGAAUAAGCCCCUUUUCCGUGUGAGGUUCCUGUGCCUUGUGGAUCAUAAUGCACACAAUGCAGCUGCUUACUUCCAAAAAUCACUUGUCUGUAGGUUUCAACUUCCUUUUCCAAGACAUACUUUUCCCUUUCCCUCCUUAGUAGGAUCUCUUUAAGAAUGUUCAUUUCUUCAAAAUCAUAAGCAGAUUUUGCUUCUAUCAUCCUCUGGUGUUGCCUAGCUUCCAUUUCGAUUGAUGCCUUCUCCUCUUGUAGACGCAGAAUCAUUGCCAUGGCCUCCUCUGCGGCAGUAGCAGCAGAACUCCUCUCUUUCUCAAGUUCAAGGUACAAAGCAGCACGAGCUGCAUGCUCUGCUGCAAGUGCUUGUUCCAAUACUCUAAUUGCAUUGUUUUCAUCAGGACCAAAGGGAAGCUCCCCUUGUGCAUUAAAUUUCAACUCAUCUUCAGGUGAUGUAACCUUCUCCGUUGGUUUAAUUUCAUUUAUAGGUUCAUUUGAUUCAAAAUCAGGGGACUUUCUCCCCAACAAACGCAAUUCCACUGAAGAGUCCCUGCCAUCUAAAAUCACAUAAUCAUGCACAUUAGAAGCAGCAUCAACUAUGCAGAAGUAACAUUAGCAUAUGCAUACCAUGUUCAAAACAUUUUUUCUUAAAGACAUGCAGGGCUUAUGCAAAGUCAAACUCAAAUUUGGAUGCUUUCACUUAAAAAUGUGCAGUCCAUCCAGGGAAGAUACAAAGUUCUUCCUCUGCUGAUGCUGACAUAUAAAAUGGGAAGACUAGGGCAAUUACAAAGCUAGAUAUGUUACUUCUGUUCUAUAUUUCAACGUAAUAUUAUAAUUCUCAUUCAGUACCUCUUCAUAACAUAUGGACCAUCUAAAAACAUAAUAUUUGGACCUUCUCAUGAGCAUUGUAAAAAGAAAAAGAAUCCAAACAAACAAAAUUACGAUGCUGUAAAACCAUCUAACUCUAAUUCUCAGAACAUAAAACACAAAGUAUCUGCUCAAAGUGGUAGAAACAUUAAAUGUAAAAUUAAAAUAUCAGAACCAUGCCAAAUUGCCAAUUCAUAUUAGAAAAAAGAUUCUAUAGAAAUAGAAAAUAUUAAUGCCAAACUACUCUUCACACUCACAAUUUAGGAUAUUACCACCAGAACUAUCAGGUACCAUGCUGCCUUCAUCACUCGCAUUCAUCAUUUUACUGGCACUGGCAGGAGACUGACGAAGAGCUUGUGCAUCCCACCUAAAAGGAUCGUAUGAUGAAGAAGAAGAUGACCUCCCAAUUUCAGUAGAACCUUUCCUACGACGCCCAAGAGCAAGUCUAACCUUCUGACUCAAACACCCCUUCUCCUUAUCAAACCUCUCUUUCACAUCCCUUGCAUACAUUACACUACUCCCAACAAACACUUCUUCACUCCUCUCAUGAAAUGAGCCAGACGAUGCUUCAUCAUCUAAUCCAAAAAUUGUAUUUUCACAAUUUGUCUGAUACAGGUUUUUGUCCCAUAUUGAAUCAAAAGGGAACUUGCUCUUAACAGAGAAUUGAACAGAUGAUAUCUUCUCUGAUUGACAGUCUACAAGAGCUGUUUGCCAACAAUUAUCACUAUUGGGGUCACCAAAAAGUCCAUUGCAAGGGCAUGGCAGAGACAAUCCAAACAUACCCAGAAAUUUUGAGGCAGAAUAAGCGAGAGUUGAUGCACAGAGGAGAAGAUACGCAAUGGAGAGAUCAAGAAAUGCACCCACUAGCCUACUAAGCGUCCACGAUUGUAUCUCAUGACACGGCAUUUUUCCAGAAAACAAUUCUUCAGUAACCCAGCCCAGCUGACUAAUCAAACUAACCAGUUUCCCGUCCGAUUGAGAGAAAACGAGAUACUAUUUGAGUGGACUUAAUUAUGAAUCAUCGGCCUACGAGAGUUGCAAUGAAAUUUCAUUCCAUAGAAAUGGACGAAGCUGCUCUCUUUCCAAAGAAAGAAAUGUUAAUUGUGUAAUUCAAACCUCUCUAUAUUCCCGAGAUGGAUACGACACCAUUGGCUGCUUCCCACAGACUUAUAACGUGGUCAAGAUCCGUCAAUUCACGCGCCAUUUGUCCGUUCCCCAUUUUUAAGGAUACUGAGAGAGAGAGAGAGUAGGAUUGAUUAUUGCGCAACUUCCGUUACAGUGGG